CUUUGAACGCAAGUUGCGCCCAAUGCCGUCAGGCUGAGGGCACGUCUGCCUGGGCGUCA
Molecule: ribosomal RNA, 59 nt
Filed under: Cuscuta lupuliformis
Lineage: Eukaryota; Viridiplantae; Streptophyta; Magnoliopsida; Solanales; Convolvulaceae
Description: partial 5.8S ribosomal RNA
Source: RNAcentral